This 253-nucleotide ribosomal RNA is filed under the name uncultured bacterium. Its description in RNAcentral is "partial 16S ribosomal RNA". It matches the Rfam family "Bacterial small subunit ribosomal RNA", at positions 524 to 776 of the family's 1533-position model. The record is from RNAcentral.
UACGUAGGUGGCAAGCGUUGUCCGGAAUUAUUGGGCGUAAAGCGCGCGCAGGCGGCCUCUUAAGUCUGAUGUGAAAGCCCCCGGCUCAACCGGGGAGGGCCAUUGGAAACUGGGAGGCUUGAGUAUAGGAGAGAAGAGUGGAAUUCCAACGUGUAGCGGUGAAAUGCGUAGAGAUGUGGAGGAACACCAGUGGCGAAGGCGACUCUUUGGCCUAUAACUGACGCUGAGGCGCGAAAGCGUGGGAGCAAACAGG